RNAcentral lists this non-coding RNA (789 nucleotides) under Lutzomyia trinidadensis. Lineage: Eukaryota; Metazoa; Arthropoda; Insecta; Diptera; Psychodidae. The record is from RNAcentral.
AAUAUAUUUUAUUAUAGUAAUUAGAUUUAUUAUUUAAAUAAUUUAUAUGUAAAAUUUUAUGUGAAAAAAUAUAAUUUAAAAAAUAAAAAUAAAAUAUUCGCAGUAAUUAGUAUUAUUUAUUUAAGAAAUUAUGAAUUAGUAAUUUAAUUAAGUAUAGGUUUAUUUUGUGCCAGCAAUCGCGGUUAUACAAAAUAUAUAAAUAAAUUAUAUUAAAAAAAGUUAGAUAGAAAAUUUUAAUUUAUAUUUAAAAUUACAUUUUUAGGUAAAAUUUUAAUGUAACAAUAAAUUUAAUAUUUUAUGAAAUUAUUAAUCUUAUAAAUUUUGUAAUAAACUAGGAUUAGAUACCCUAUUAUUAAAAUAUAAAAUAAAAAUUUUUUAGAUUAGUAUUAGAUAUAUUUAUGAAAUUAAAAUAAUUUGGCGGUAUUUUAGUCUAUUCAGAGGAAUUUGUUUUAUAAUCGAUAUUCCUCGUUAUAUCUUACUUAUUUUAUUUAAUUUGUAUAUCGUUGUCAUUAGAAUAUUUUAUAAGAAAAAUAAUUUUCUAAAAUUUAAAUAAAAUUUUAUGUCAAAUCAAGGUGCAGUUUAUAUCUAAGAAAAAAUGAAUUACAAUAAUAAUUAAUUAUAUGAAUUAAAAAUUGAAAAAAUUUUAUGAAGGUGGAUUUGAUAGUAAAUUUAAUAAGAGAAUUAAAUUGAUUUUAGCUCUAAAAUAUGUACAUAUUGCCCGUCGCUCUUGCUAUUAAAGUAAGAUAAGUCGUAACAAAGUAGAAAUAUUGGAAAGUGUUUCUAGAUAAU